This 481-nucleotide ribosomal RNA is filed under the name uncultured bacterium. RNAcentral's name for it is "partial 16S ribosomal RNA". It matches the Rfam family "Bacterial small subunit ribosomal RNA", at positions 28 to 507 of the family's 1533-position model. The record is from RNAcentral.
GACGAACGUUGGCGGCGUGCUUAAUACAUGCAAGUCAACUGAAGCAGCGGUAGCAAUAUCGCUGUGGAGGUGGCGCACGGGUGAGUAACACGUAGGUAAUCUGCCUUCAGGUCUGGCAUAACUCCGGGAAACCGGGGCUAAUAGCAGAUGAUGCAGCGGCUCGACAUCGAGACAGUUGUUAAAGCUAUGGCGCCUGAAGAUGAGCCUGCGUCUGAUUAGCUAGUUGGCGGGGUAACGGCCCACCAAGGCAACGAUCAGUAGCUGGUCUGAGAGGAUGAUCAGGAACACUGGAACUGAGACACGGUCCAGAGUACUACGGGAGGCAGCAGUAAGGAAUAUUGCUCAAUGUGAGAAAUCGUGAAGCAGCAACGCAGCGUGAGGGACGAAGGGCUGUAGAUUGUAAAACUCUGUAGUGAGAGAAAAAAAUCCCAAUCUUUGGGACAUGAUGGUAUCUCAAAAGUAAGCCCCGGCUAACUACGUG